GCCGGGUGUGGUGAUGCACACCUGUAGUCCCAGCUACUCAGGAGGCUGAGGCAGGAGAAUCGCUUGAACCCGGGAGAUGGAGGUUGCAGUGAGCCGAGAUCACGCCACUGCACUCCAGCCUGGGCAACAGAGUGAGACUCCGUCUCAA
This 148-nucleotide non-coding RNA is filed under the name Homo sapiens (human). Lineage: Eukaryota; Metazoa; Chordata; Mammalia; Primates; Hominidae. The record is from Rfam by way of RNAcentral.